CCCCCUUGUUAUGUUCACUUGAUACGCAACUUAGAAACGCAGUGCAUAAUUCACUUACAGUAGAGUACACCUUAUCAGGCCUGGCAGCACAGUCUCUGUCUAACCUCCGAUAGUCAACAUAAUGAGUAAACAUUAACCCAGCUCUACCUUUCUAUUCUUCAUCCUACACUGUAUUAAAACCCCUCAGCUGUGAAGGAGCUAGGCAAUGAACACUGCCUAGACUUAAGGAAUAAGGUAAAACAUAGCUUUUGGAUUGUGUGAAAGUGCUUACCUCACAAGACAGCAAGGCUUAAGGGAUUUCGGGAAUUGGAAGUGGACUUCUUGAACCAGAUGAAGGACAGGACCGUAUAAUAAAUAAUUAACAGAGGCCUACAUGUCCGAUUCCCUGUAUACAUCGUAAGCUUUACUGAGAACGUUAAUAGAUGUCUGUGGAAAGUGUUCUAGCAAAGGUUCCAGAGCAUCCUGGUCUGGAUGGGACAACAGAGGAUUGGGUCCAGUGGACUGUGCAGCGCCUGCAGAUGGAACCCUGGGCACUGGGGGGGGCCGUGGUCAUAGGGCUCUUCCUGCUGAUGAUCCUGGCUCUGGUGGUCUUUGCUCUGAUAUAUGGCUGUUGCUGCUCACCAAAGGGAGGAAAAAGGAGGAUGAAGAAUGGUGUGCUUUAGAGAAACGGGUGACCCCCAAUACCCCCAAUCUGUUGGCCAUUUCGAUGUUAUGUGAUUCCUUGACUACCCCCAAAAACACGCAUUUUUGUGAGACCCCAUUAUUUUUCAGCUUUACAGGCAAACCAAUCAAAAACAAAUUCUCAUUUACAAUGACCAGACAGCCAAAGGCAUAACAUAGCAGAUAACAUUCAGUUACCCAUAAAAACAAUUAAUAGAACAAAUUAAUAAAUUGUACCAUAAGAAGAGAUGAAAACAUACAGUAAGUACAGAUGGAUGAGGUCCAAAGGUGCUCACUAUUUAAGGUGAUAGAUACAGUAUACACAGAUAGAUAUGGUGCUUAGAAGAUGUUGUUUUCAAGUAGAAGCUUAGGCAAUUUGUAACAUUUAGCUCUGAGCCUCUAAAUUGUGUUGGCACAAUUUAGAGGCUAGGACUGGUUGGAUGGUCAGGUUUUUUUUGUAGCAUGGGAGAAGGAGGUUAGUUGUGAAACAGAAACCGAUUCUGGAUUUGACUUUUUGUUUAGAACAUUAAUUAAAUACUGAAUGAAAUAUUAACAUAUGUUCACUGAUUCACAUACUGUAAGUAUAACAAGAUGCACAUCAAGCAGCUUCAUUAAUUAAAUUUGGUUGAAAUGCAGCCAUGAUGACUGAAACCUGACACACCCAACCAAAAGAAAAGACAAUGUAAAAUAAAUAAUGUUAAUUAAUUCAUUUCAGCAAGAAGAUAUAAUGUUUGAUUAUACUUUUAAUGAAUGUGCUCAAUAAAAAGCCUUGAACCUUUUUAUAUAACUAUUUAAAAAAUCUCAUUAUCAUUCUAUGCCUACUGUUGCAACCGUCUGCAUCGGUCCCCCAUGGACAGGCCGGGUACCCCCAGGGGGCCCAGUAUCGACUAUUUUUGAACCUAUUAUUACAAACCGCUUUUAUAGGCCUAUCAGUCCUGCCCUACCUGUCUAAUGUUAUUGAAUGCCGAGUCAACAAACAGUUAAUGUGUCAUUUGGAUGGGCCAUCUCAGCAUUUCGAAAAGUUCUAAAUUAAAUAAUAUCUGACAAAAGCCGUAUUGUGCUGUUGUUGAUUGAUUUGACUAAAGCUGUUGACUAUACCAAACUUCCGAUCCUUAACAAUAAACACUGUAAUAUUGGGUUUUCAGAGGACAGAGGACAUUUGCGUUUUGAAAACUAGUAUUUCCAUGCAAAAUCUAAUAAUGGCAAUUUCUACGGGUGUGUUCUUCAAGGUUGGAUUCAUGGAUCGACCCUAUUCUAUGUAAAGACAUUGCACUUACUGCUGGUAACUCCCUCAUCUGCUUUUUCAUAAUGCAAUUUGAUUUAUAGAAUAGUUAAUCUGCCAUUAUUUUAAUUGUCUGAAACAUAGUCGUCAUGUUUCCCAGGGGCAGUGUUGCCAACUCUCGCGAGUCAAACAAGCAACUGCAGCUUCAAAAACAAGCCCAAUACUGUUAUAGCAUGUUACAGUCAAUUAAUGAGUCUACUUUGUUGGUGGCAUCGUUUGUGGUCAUGUAUCUAGUGCUAUGCCAUCAAAUGUCAUGAAUGAUGACUCAUCAUAACUGCUGUACUAAGUGUCUAUAAUACUCAGUACUUUGACCAUACUGUUCAUACUCCCCAUCCUACGCUAGUUAACAAUAGUUUUAUUGUUAUGUAUAUUAUUGCCAUACUUGCCAUAGGCUUAUCCAUGAUUUCAUACCACCACCAAUAUUGCUACUAGUUUACAGUACUCUUUCUAAACUGCUGCUAGUGUACAGUGUUAUGAAUAUUCUUGCUUUCUCUUCUUGAUAUAUUUUUGCUCUUAAUUCUCACUAUGUAGUUGUAGUGUGCUAUGUAACCAUUCAUUAGCUUAUUACACUCAUAUAUAACAUUCAAAAAUUCUACCAAAUUGCUGCAAGUUUAUAUUAUGUACAUUACUGCCUUACUUGUCAUAUCUAUAAUCAAUAAUUGGCUAAGAUUGCUGCUAGUUUACAGUAUACUCUUUUAAACUGCUGCUAGUGUGAAGUGUUAUGUAUAGUGCUGCUUUAUUUUUUGUCUGGCUAUAUUUUUCCUUAUGCAUUCUUCUUAACUCUCACUACGGAGGUGUCGGGUGCCAUGUCACAAUUUAAUUGUUCAGGAUGACGCUGUGUUGCUCGGUACAUUUGACAAAUAAACGUUGAAAUUGUAACAUC
This is a long non-coding RNA of Esox lucius (northern pike), 2825 nucleotides long. The record is from Ensembl. Lineage: Eukaryota; Metazoa; Chordata; Actinopteri; Esociformes; Esocidae.